This 460-nucleotide ribosomal RNA is filed under the name uncultured bacterium. RNAcentral describes it as "partial 16S ribosomal RNA". It matches the Rfam family "Bacterial small subunit ribosomal RNA", at positions 338 to 795 of the family's 1533-position model. The record is from RNAcentral.
CCUACGGGUGGCAGCAGUGAGGAAUAUUGGUCAAUGGGCGGGAGCCUGAACCAGCCAAGUCGCGUGAGGGAAGACGGUCCUAUGGAUUGUCAACCUCUUUAGGCGGGGAGCAAUGCCGGGCACGCGUGCCCGGAGCGAGAGUACCCGCAGCAUAAGCAUCGGCUAACUCCGUGCCAGCAGCCGCGGUAAUACGGAGGAUGCGCGCGUUAUCCGGAUUUAUUGGGUUUAAAGGGUGCGUAGGCGGAUUUUUAAGUCAGCGGUAAAAUGUGCGGGCUCAACCCGGGCCGGCCGUUGAAACUGGGGAGCUUGAGUGGGCGAGAAGUAUGCGGAAUGCGUGGUGUAGCGGGGAAAUGCAUAGAUAUAACGCAGAACUCCGAUUGCGAAGGCAGCAUACCGGCGCCCGACUGACGCUGAGGCACGAAAGCGUGGGGAUCGAACAGGAUUAGAUACCCCGGUAGUC